GUGCUCGCUUCGGCAGCGCAUAUACUAAAGUUGGAACGAUACAGAGAUUAGCAUGGCUCCUGCGCAAGGAUGACACGUAAAUUCGUGAAGCGUUCCGUCUUCUU
Molecule: small nuclear RNA, 104 nt
Filed under: Physeter macrocephalus (sperm whale)
Lineage: Eukaryota; Metazoa; Chordata; Mammalia; Artiodactyla; Physeteridae
Source: RNAcentral